RNAcentral lists this ribosomal RNA (504 nucleotides) under uncultured bacterium. Its description in RNAcentral is "bacterial SSU rRNA". It matches the Rfam family "Bacterial small subunit ribosomal RNA", at positions 29 to 520 of the family's 1533-position model. The record is from RNAcentral.
AGUGAACGCUGGCGGCAGGCCUAAUACAUGCAAGUCGAACGGCAGCACGGCAGAGCUUGCUCUGUGGGUGGCGAGUGGCGGACGGGUGAGGAAUACAUGGGAAUCUGCCCAGUCGUGGGGGAUAACGUAGGGAAACUUACGCUAAUACCGCAUGCGCCCUUCGGGGGAAAGCCGGGGACCUUCGGGCCUGGCGCGAUUGGAUGAGCCCAUGUCGGAUUAGCUAGUUGGCGGGGUAAUGGCCCACCAAGGCGACGAUCCGUAGCUGGUCUGAGAGGAUGAUCAGCCACACUGGAACUGAGACACGGUCCAGACUCCUACGGGAGGCAGCAGUAGGGAAUAUUGGACAAUGGGCGCAAGCCUGAUCCAGCCAUGCCGCGUGAGUGAAGAAGGCCCUCGGGUUGUAAAGCUCUUUUGUCCGGAAAGAAAAGCGCCGGGUUAAUACCCUGGUGUCCUGACGGUACCGGAAGAAUAAGCACCGGCUAACUUCGUGCCAGCAGCCGACGG